GAUCAUGGCUCGAGAACGAACGCUGGCGGCAUGGAUUAGGCAUGCAAGUCGAACGAAGUAGCAAUACUUAGUGGCGCAAGGGUGAGGAACACGUGAGUGACCUACCCGCAAGUUUGGAACAGCUCCUGGAAACGGGAAUUAAUACCGGAUGUGAUCAUAUUACUGCAUGGUGAUAUGAUUAAAGCAGCAAUGCGCUUGCGGAUGGGCUCGCGUCCCAUUAGCUAGUUGGUGAGGUAACGGCCCACCAAGGCCAUGAUGGGUAGCUGGUCUGAGAGGACGACCAGCCACACUGGGACUGAGAACUGCCCAGACUCCUACGGGAGGCUGCAGUCGAGUAAGUUUUGGGCAAUGGACGAAAGUCUUGACCCAGCAAUGCCGCGUGCGGGAUGAAGGUCUUCGGAUUGUAAACCGCUGUUUGGAGGGACGAAAAUUGACGGUACUUCCAGAGGAAGCCACGGCUAACUACGUGCCAGCAGCGGC
Molecule: ribosomal RNA, 480 nt
Filed under: uncultured bacterium
Lineage: Bacteria
Description: bacterial SSU rRNA
Rfam family: Bacterial small subunit ribosomal RNA
Source: RNAcentral